Molecule: small RNA, 264 nt
Filed under: Arabidopsis thaliana (thale cress)
Lineage: Eukaryota; Viridiplantae; Streptophyta; Magnoliopsida; Brassicales; Brassicaceae
Description: ATSL210600
Source: RNAcentral
AAAAAAAAAAAGAUGAAAUCAAUGACCUUACUUUAACCCAGAACCUAUUAAAGCUGAAAGCACACUUAUACCGGCUGUACAACUGUAACUAGUGUUGCUAAUUCGGGUAUGAAAACCUCAUUUAAUAAAUGGAUAUGUAGAAGAGAAAUUGACCCAUUUAAACUCAUUUAUUAAAUGUGGUUUCACACAAAUAAUUGGGUACCCAACUAAACUCAUUUAUAUUUCUUUUGUUAUUAGUUAGUUAUCUUUAUUAAAAAUGUUAAU